CGCCUACGGGCGGCUGCAGUGGGGAAUUUUGGACAAUGGGGGCAACCCUGAUCCAGCCAUGCCGCGUGAGUGAAGAAGGCCUUCGGGUUGUAAAGCUCUUUCGGCCGGGAAGAAAUCGCAUCAGCUAAUACCCUGUGUGGAUGACGGUACCGGAAUAAGAAGCACCGGCUAACUACGUGCCAGCAGCCGCGGUAAUACGUAGGGUGCGAGCGUUAAUCGGAAUUACUGGGCGUAAAGCGUGCGCAGGCGGGUUUGUAAGACAGGCUUGAAAUCCCCGGGCUUAACCUGGGAACUGCGCUAGGGACUGCAAGGCUAGAGUACGGCAGAGGGGGGUGGAAUUCCACGUGUAGCAGUGAAAUGCGUAGAGAUGUGGAGGAACACCAAUUGCGAAGGCAGCCCCCUGGGUCGAUACUGACGCUCAUGCACGAAAGCGUGGGUAGCAAACAGGAUUAGAUACCCCAGUAGUC
Molecule: ribosomal RNA, 467 nt
Filed under: uncultured Dechloromonas sp.
Lineage: Bacteria; Pseudomonadati; Pseudomonadota; Betaproteobacteria; Rhodocyclales; Azonexaceae
Description: bacterial SSU rRNA
Rfam family: Bacterial small subunit ribosomal RNA
Source: RNAcentral